Molecule: long non-coding RNA, 7529 nt
Filed under: Sus scrofa (pig)
Lineage: Eukaryota; Metazoa; Chordata; Mammalia; Artiodactyla; Suidae
Description: lncRNA (ENSSSCG00040073102.1)
Source: RNAcentral
UUGUUUUAUUUUUUUUAUCAUGGAAAACCUAAUCUGUCUUGAUUCACACACUAUGUUUGAUGGGUAAAGAAGGUGGAGAAGCUCUAAAUAUUUAUAUGUUAAUAUUCUCACAUGCAUCUUCCCAUUUAAUCAUCAAAACAGCCCUGCAGGUAGGUACUACUUUUAUAGCUGCUUGAUAGACAGGGAGACAAUGGCUCAAAGAAGUGAAGCUUCACAAGGGCCAUCAGCUACUAAGGUGGCAGAGGAGGGUCUUAAACUCAGGUCAGAGUCCACACACCAGGAUUGCACACCCCAUUGCCUCCGACAGUGUUCAUUCACUCACCAGGCGGGGCACUGAACUUGGUCUCCACCAACAUCUCAAUCUUCCUAAGUCUGGUUAGUAGCAGUUUUGUUCAUCCCAAAUGAUCAUUUUCCUAAUUUAACUGAUUUUAUGGAACUUUUCUGCUGGUUAAGAUGAUGUAAGAAAACUAAUUUAAAGAGCAAUCAACCUGUAGUUAACAAUGCUAUAUUAUACACUGGAAAAAAUGGUAAAAGAGUAGAUCUCAUGUUAAACAUCCUUGCUCCAAUAAAAACCAAAAAACAAGAUGAAUUGACUUUCUUGCCAAUAUAAAGAGAUAUUCAAAUGCACAUGUGCAUAUUAUCAUAGUCCAACUUCUCUGUCAAGUACCAAAUAGACACAACAUUUAUUCCAGUUGUUUAUACUGUAUAUUAUUUUUAUUUCCAGAAUGACCUUGUGUGACCGCCUUAUUCAUGGAUUAAAUACAUUCCAGUAGUGUACACAUAACUAAUCUAUGGAAGGCAUGUAAAAUGAGAUUAGUUCAUGCAAAGUGGAGCGCAUUUCAUUUCAGUUCCCCUUCCAAGCUGAUUGGUUUAGCAGAAAUUUUCAUCUGUCCAAACUAUUCCAGUGAUCUAUUCUGCUGACUUCUCUCUCUGUUGCCUUUAGAAGUAGUCACGUUUCCAUUCAAACUAUUCCAACUCUUGUAGUAACCGCACUUCACAAAGCUUUAUGUAACAUCAAGUUCUUGUCCUGAAAAUAAAAGUCUGGUUACAUUCCUUGUGAAUGCCUUCCUUCAUCUGGGUGGAAUUGAAACUUUUCUGUUUUAUCAGUUCAGAUAACCACCAGGUCACACAGAGGCCACAAAGGAAUCAACAGAAAUGCUUGCUGCUCAACACUUUGCUGGCUUCAGCCACUGCCUUUAGAAAGUCAAUAGAAUGUAUUUUCCUGACAUAAGCUACCUACUUUUUAAAUUUCCCUAUGCCUUUCAUACUCAAGAAGCUGUGAUUCAAAAACUAAAUGAAAUUUCCCUGUUUAUGUUAAAAGUCUACUCCAGAUAUUUUCAGUGACUAUUUUGUCUUUUUAAAGUGUAUGGAUUUCAGAUACAGAUAGAUAGGAUUCUAGUCCAUGACCUCUGGUCUCUCAACUUGCUAUUGCUUUUAAUAAAAAUUAGAGCAGUUGGCUCUGUAGCAGUCAGAUUUGAUUGUAGUUCCUGAUAAAGUAAGCCUUUAUCCAUUUAAAUCCUACUUUAAAGGACAUCAGGACAACCAACCUGAAUUUUUAAAAACUAUUAAUGUUCUGAAUGUUCUUACAAAGUAAGAAAAAGAAACAUGUUCCAAAUUUUUCUGACAUAGUAUUAAAGUUGUACUUCAAUAUAAAGCCUUGAGUGGUAUUUGAAGACAUCUGAUUAAAUGCUUACUGGCUUAGGAGUGCUGAGCAUGAAAUUAAAAGUCAGCAGAAAGUAACAAUGAUGACUACCUACUACUAAAGGAAAUGUAAGUGGCUUUACCCUACAGCCCUGCACCAACCUUUUCCUAGUUGUGCAUUUCCACAGAUAUGGAUUCAGCUUUAUUCCUUCGUUAAGUAAAAUAAGUAAGGAUGAUGGCGGUCAGUUGCCUCUAAAAAGGUAAAGCAUUCCUUCCAAAUCCAUAUGAUACCAUGUCUAUGUCCUAGUUUUACCUAUGCUACCAUAGAAAAGACCUAAAACCGAGUGUGGAAUAUUUUGGUCCUAGAAGCCUAGCAAAAACGACUUGUACAUACUUCAUAACAAAAGUUAUGUACUUAUCUCAUCAAUAGGUUAUAAUAUUGGUGUUGCUUAUCAUCUCAAAGAUCCCAAAGAGUCAUGUUUAUAAGAAAGACAAUAAAUCAUAUGAUAUCUGCCAUUCACAAAAAUAAAAUUAUACUUAAUAUAAUGUUAGCAAGGGCUCUUAAUAGGGAAUUUUUUAAAAUUCAGACUUUGAUAUAUGUUUUGGUACGUGAUUGCUGGAUAAAAACUAUUCCAACACAGUUAUUUAAAGCAAAAACAAAUGGAAUAGGAGAAAGUAUUUGUAAACCUUGUAUCUGAUGAGGGGUUAGUAUCCAAAAUAUGUAAGGUACUCAUGUAACUAGAUAGCAAGAAAACAAAAACAGUAAUACCUGUGAACUAUUAUUCAGCAAUAGAAAACAGUGAGCUGCUAUCACUUGACACAACAUGGAUGAACCUAGAGGACAUUAUAUUAAGUGACACAGAAAGACAUUGUGUGAUGUCGCUUAUAUGUAGAAUCUAAAAAAAAAAAAUUGAGUUUGUAGCAGCAGAGAGGAGAAUGGUGGUUACAGGGGUUUCAGGGUGGAAGAAAUGGGAAGAUGUUGGUCAAAGGGUACAGAGUUUCAAAUAUGCAGUACGAAUAAGUUCUGGAGAUCUAAUGUAUAACAUAGUGACUAUAAAUAAUACUGUAUUAAAUAAUUCAACUUUUCUAAGAGAGUAGAUCUUUUUUUUAAAAAAUUGAGGUGUUAUUGAUUUACAUUGCUGUAUUUUAGGUGUAUAACAAAGUAAUUUUUUAUUACAUAUAUAUAUAAAGAGUUUAAUAUUUUUUCAGAUUAUUUUCCAUUAUAGGUCAUGACAGGAUAUUGAAUAUAAUUCCUUAUGCUAUACUGUAAAUCCUUUUUGCUUGUCUAUUUUAUAUAUAGUAGUUUAUAUCUGUUAGUUCCAUAGUCCUAAUCCCCCUCUCCCCUCUGGUAACCAUUAAUUUGUUUUCUACAUCUGUGAGUCUUUUUCUGUUUUGUAUAUAGAGUCAUUUGUGUUAUUCAAUUUUGUUUUAUUUUAUUGCUUUUUAGGGUCACACCUGCAGCAUAUGAAAGUUCCCAGGCUAGGGGUCAAAUCACUCCUGUAUUUUCCAGUGUAGGCCACAGCCACAGCAGCAAUGGGGGAUCUGAGCCAUGUCUGUGACCUACACCACAGCUCACAGCAAUGCCAGUGCCUUAAUCAUUGAGUGAGGCCAGGAACUGAAUCCACAUCCUCACAGUUACUCAUCAGGUUCAUUACAGCUGAGCCACAAUGGGAACUCCUCAUGUUAUUUUUUAGAUUCCACAUAUAAGUGAUAGUUUUCAUCUUUUCCAGAUAUAUGCACGGGACUGGGAUUGCUGGAUCACAUGGUAGUUCAAGUUUUAAUAUUUUAAGGAGCCUCCAUACUAUUGCCCAUUGUGAUUGCACCCAUUUAUAUUCCCACCAAUAGUGUAGGAGGGUUGCUUUUUCUCCACGCCCUCUCCAGCAUUUACUGUUUGUAGGUUUUUUAAUAAUAACCAUUCUGACUUAUGUGAGGUGAUACCUCAUUGUGGUUCUGAUUUACAUUUCUCUAAUUACUGAUGUUGAACAUCUUUUCAUUUGCUUAUGGCCAUCUGUAUGUCUUCUUUGGAUAAAUAUCUAUUUAGGUCUUCUGCCAAUUUUUUGAUUGGGUUGUUUGAUUUUUUGAUAUUGAACUGUAUGAGCUAUUUUCAUAUUUUGGAUAUUAACCCCUUGUCAGCUGCAUCAUUUGCAAAUAAUUUCUCCCAUUCCAUAGGUUGUUUGCUCAUUUUGUUUAUGGUUUCCUGUACUGUGCUAAAGCUUUUCCAUUUGACUAGGUCCCAUUUGCUUAUUUCUCCUUUUAUUUCUUUUGCCUAGAGUAACUGAUCUAAGAAAAUAUUGCUAUAAUUUAUGUCCAGGAAUGUUUUGAUUUUCUUCUCUUCUAGGAGUUUGUAAUAUCAGGACUUGUAUUUAGGACUUUAAACCAACUGGAGUUUACUUUUGGAUAGGAUGUGAAGGAGUAUUCUAAUUUCAUUGAUUUAUGUGUAGCUGUCCAGCUUUCCCAGUGGCACUUGUUGAAGAGACUGUCUUUUCUCUAUCGUAUAUUCUUGCCUCCUGUAUCAUAGAUUAGUUGAUAUAGGUGUUUGGGUUUAUUUCUGGGAUCUCUAUUCUAUUCCACUGAUUUCUAUGUCUAAUUUUGUACCAAUACCACAUUGUUUUGAUUACUGUAUCUAUGUUGUACAGUCUUAGGUCUGUUGUGAGUCUUAGGCAUCAAGCUUUGUUCUUUUUUCUCAGAAUCACGUUGGGUCUUUGUGAUUCCAUAUAAAUUUUAGGGGUUAUUUGUUUUAGUUCUGUGAAAGAUAGAAUGGGUAUUUUGAUAAUGAAUGCAUUAACUCUGUGGAUUGUUUUAGAUAGUAUGACCAUUUUAACAAAAUUAAUUCUUCCUAUCCAAGAGUGUAGGAUAGCUUUCCAUUUCUUUGAAUCCUCUUUAGCAGUGUUUUAUAGUUUUCAGCUUAUAGAUCUUAAGAAUUCUUGGUUAAGUGUAUUUAUCCCUAGGAUUUUUUUGAACAUUGUUUUAUUUUAUUGAAGUAUAGUUGAUUUACAAUGUUAUGUUAAUUUCUGCUGUACAGCAAGAUGAUUCAGUUAUACAUACAUGUGUGUAUGUGUAUAUAUAUAUAUGAAAUACUCUUUUUAAAAAUAUUCCUUUCAAUUAUCAUUUAUUAUAGGAUAUUAAAUAUAGUUCUCUGUGUUGAUUAUCCCUUUCAUGUAUAUUAGCUUACAACUGCUAGCCCCAAAUACCUACCCUCAUUCCCUCCCCCUUGGCAACCACAAGAUUGUUCUCUAUGUCUGUGAGUCUGCUUCUGUUUUUUAGAAAGGGUCUUUUGUGUUAUUUAUUUAUUUUUUUUUUAGAUUCCACAUGUAAGUAAUAUUAUAUGGUAUUUGUCUUUCUCUUUAUGACUUAAAUCACUUAGGAUGAUAAUAUCUAGGUCUGCCUAUGUUGCUGAAAAUGGCAUUAUUUCUUUCUUUUUGGCUUAGUGGUAUUCCAUUGUGUAUAACUACCACAUCUUUUUUAUCCAUUCAUUUACCAACAUAUGUUUAGGUUGUCUUGGCUAUUGUGAAUAGAGCUGCAAUGAACAUAAGGGUGCAUGUAUCUUUUUGAAUGAAAGGUUUCUCUGGCUAUAUCCCCAGGAGUGGGAUUGCUGGAUCAUAUGGUAACUUUAUCCUUAGUUUUCUGAGGAAUCUCUGUGCUGCUCUCCAUGAUGGUUGCGCCAGUUUACAUUCCCACCAACAGUGUAAAAGUAUUCCCUUUUCUUCACAACCUUAAGAGAAUAGACCUUAAUUUUUCUCACCAAAGGAGCUGGGGAAAACAGAGAACCAUGUGAGAUGAUGUAUAUGUUAGUUAUCUUGAUUGUGAUAAUUAUUUCACUAUGUAUACACAUAUUAAAACAUCCUUCAAUAUAUACAAUUUUCUCAAUUAUACUUCAGUAGAACUCAGAAAAGUAAAAAUAGUAGUUCCCAUUGUGGCUCCGUGGUUAAGGACCUGACAUUGUCUCCAUGAGCAUGCAGGUUUGAUCCCUGGCCUUGAUCAGUGGAUUAAGGAUCUGGUGUUGCCACAAGCUGCAGUGUAAGUCAUAGAUGAGCCUUGGAUAUGGUGUUGUCAUGGCUGUGGCAUAGGCCACAGCUACAGCUCCGAUUUGACCCCUGGCCUGGGAACUUCCACAUACCACAGGCACAGCUGUAAAAAGAAAAAAACAAACAAAAUUGUUUCCUCAUGAAUCUUUAAUUGGACAACAUUAUGUCUGGUAUAUUUGCCUCUGUCCUCUAUGCUAUGAGUUGGCCCAAAUGAGGCUGAUAGAUGCUGUUCUAAGUGGCUUACUCACAUGGUAAACAAAUCUUUUAUUGCUGUCACAUGGUAGCUCAGCCAGGGCUGUUGCCUAGAAGCCUAGAUUCUUGCUCACAUGAACCUGUCUGCGGUGCUGCUUUGGCUGUCUCAGAGCAUGGAGACUGAGUUCUAAGAAGGAGAAAACAGUCUUAGACGCACUAGUCUUCCUAAAGACGCAGCCUCAACUCAGGUGCAACAUCAUUUCUGCUUAUAUUUUAACUGUGAAAGCAGUCCCAAGCCAGCUAAAGCUCAAGUGGGUGAGGACAUAGACUGCAUUUGAUAAGAGAGUGGCUUGCAUGUGUAGGAAAGGAAUAAAUUGAUACUAGCCAUCUUUGCAUACAAGCCCCCACAUUGUAAUUAAGAGGACAACAGAUUUGAAAGUAGGAAUGAGUGACAUUAGACAUUUUAUUUCUAGUCAGCAUAGUCCACUGUAUUCAUUUCAGGAGAUUUUAUUUUAUUUUAUUUUGUCUUUUUGCCAUUGGGCCGCUCCUGUGGCAUAUGGAGGUUCCCAGGCUAGGGGUCGAAUUGGAGCGAUAGCUGCCAGCCUACUCCAGAGCCACAGCAACGCAGGAUCCGAGCCGCAUCUGCAACCUACACCACAGCUCAUGGCAACGCCGGAUCGUUAACCCACUGAGCAAGGCCAGGGAUUGAACCCGCAACCUCAUGGUUCCUAGUCGGAUUCGUUAACCACUGCGCCAUGAUGGGAACUCCCUCAUUUCAGGAGAUUUUAGAAACUCCUUUUCAAUUGUUGACCUAAUCGGUUUUUCCUUUGUAAAUGUUGGUUACUAACGUUUAUUUGAAAUACAGAGAAGACUGAUGUCAAUCACAAAAGUCUAUCAGACACAGAGGGGGUACUUGAAACCACAGCAUAGCUCUUGAUUAUACUUUCUGAUUUGAUAGUGCUAAGCAAUACCUUAAAAUCUGACUAGCUUUCUGGAUUGUUAUAUUUUUCAAUAGGACUUUAACUAAUAUUAGGUGCUUUUUUUGGGCUAGAGAUUGAAAAAGACUAUUUUGAAAUCACGAUAUAAAAUAAUGACACAGGAAACACAAAAUAGCUGAGUUUGCUCGAUUUUAACUCAGGAUACAAGAAUAAAUGCCUGCAUCCACAAAAGUAAUGUUUUUGCCUAAUUCCUUUAGAGAAUUGCAUCUGAGAGGAUGGUUUCUCUCUAGGCAAGACUAAAAUAACCAUUUUGUGGUGAGGCUACUGCUCUCAGUGUCAACUUGGGUAUUUCAAGCUCAAUGUAAUAUGGUUAGUAGUCUUGAGAGCGUCAUAUCAGAGUUUUUCAACCUUGGCAGUAUUGACAUUUUAGGCUGGAUUAUUUUUGCUAUAGGAGUUUGUUCAGUGCAUUGUAGGAUGAUUAGCAGCAUGUCUGGCCUCUAUCCACUAGAUGCCAAUAGUUUCUCACCAGUCGUGAAACCUAAAAUGCCUCGACAUCGCCAAAUGUUCCCUGGGGUAAAAUUGCCUCCUUUUAAGAACCACUGGGUUUAAUAAAUUUAUAAUUAGAAAAAAUACAUUUCCCUGAGGCAACUUGCCUUAUCUCAGUAGUGUUGUUCUGUCAUCCCUUUCAUAAUUGGAGGUAUCUUCAUGACCUAGAUUUGUCUUCCAUUUAAAU